AGUGAACGCUGGCGGUAGGCCUAACACAUGCAAGUCGAACGGCAGCACAGUAAGAGCUUGCUCUUACGGGUGGCGAGUGGCGGACGGGUGAGGAAUACAUCGGAAUCUACUUUUUCGUGGGGGAUAACGUAGGGAAACUUACGCUAAUACCGCAUACGACCUACGGGUGAAAGCAGGGGAUCUUCGGACCUUGCGCGAUUGAAUGAGCCGAUGUCGGAUUAGCAAGUUGGCGGGGUAAAGGCCCACCAAGGCGACGAUCCGUAGCUGGUCUGAGAGGAUGAUCAGCCACACUGGAACUGAGACACGGUCCAGACUCCUACGGGAGGCAGCAGUGGGGAAUAUUGGACAAUGGGCGCAAGCCUGAUCCAGCCAUACCGCGUGGGUGAAGAAGGCCUUCGGGUUGUAAAGCCCUUUUGUUGGGAAAGAAAAGCAGCAGGUUAAUACCCCGCUGUCCUGACGGUACCCAAAGAAUAAGCACCGGCUAACUUCGUG
Molecule: ribosomal RNA, 492 nt
Filed under: uncultured bacterium
Lineage: Bacteria
Description: partial 16S ribosomal RNA
Rfam family: Bacterial small subunit ribosomal RNA
Source: RNAcentral